UAAGGAAUAUUGGUCAAUGGGCGGAAGCCUGAACCAGCCAAGUCGCGUGAGGGAAGACGGCCCUACGGGUUGUAAACCUCUUUUGCCGGGGAGCAAUGCCCAGCUCGCGAGCUGGGAAGGAGAGUAACCCGGAAAAAAGCAUCGGCUAACUCCGUGCCAGCAGCCGCGGUAAUA
RNAcentral lists this ribosomal RNA (174 nucleotides) under uncultured Barnesiella sp. Its description in RNAcentral is "partial 16S rRNA". It matches the Rfam family "Bacterial small subunit ribosomal RNA", at positions 355 to 525 of the family's 1533-position model. The record is from RNAcentral. Lineage: Bacteria; Pseudomonadati; Bacteroidota; Bacteroidia; Bacteroidales; Barnesiellaceae.